UGGAUCCAGACUUUGAUCAUGGCUCAGGAUGAACGCUAGCUACAGGCUUAACACAUGCAAGUCGAGGGGAAACGACAUUGAAAGCUUGCUUUUGAUGGGCGUCGACCGGCGCACGGGUGAGUAACGCGUAUCCAACCUGCCCAUCACUUGGGGAUAACCUUGCGAAAGUAAGACUAAUACCCAAUGAUAUCUCUAGAAGACAUCUGAAAGAGAUUAAAGAUUUAUCGGUGAUGGAUGGGGAUGCGUCUGAUUAGCUUGUUGGCGGGGUAACGGCCCACCAAGGCGACGAUCAGUAGGGGUUCUGAGAGGAAGGUCCCCCACAUUGGAACUGAGACACGGUCCAAACUCCUACGGGAGGCAGCAGUGAGGAAUAUUGGUCAAUGGACGAGAGUCUGAACCAGCCAAGUAGCGUGCAGGAUGACGGCCCUAUGGGUUGUAAACUGCUUUUAUAAGGGAAUAAAGUGAGUCUCGUGAGACUUUUUGCAUGUACCUUAUGAAUAAGGACCGGCUAAUUCCGUGCCAGCAGCCGCGGUAAUACGGAAGGUCCGGGCGUUAUCCGGAUUUAUUGGGUUUAAAGGGAGCGUAGGCCGGAGAUUAAGCGUGUUGUGAAAUGUAGACGCUCAACGUCUGCACUGCAGCGCGAACUGGUUUCCUUGAGUACGCACAAAGUGGGCGGAAUUCGUGGUGUAGCGGUGAAAUGCUUAGAUAUCACGAAGAACUCCGAUUGCGAAGGCAGCUCACUGGAGCGCAACUGACGCUGAAGCUCGAAAGUGCGAGUAUCGAACAGGAUUAGAUACCCUGGUAGUCCGCACGGUAAACGAUGGAUGCCCGCUGUUGGUCUGAAUAGGUCAGCGGCCAAGCGAAAGCAUUAAGCAUCCCACCUGGGGAGUACGCCGGCAACGGUGCAACUCAAAUGAAUUGACGGA
RNAcentral lists this ribosomal RNA (926 nucleotides) under uncultured Bacteroidota bacterium. RNAcentral's name for it is "bacterial SSU rRNA". It matches the Rfam family "Bacterial small subunit ribosomal RNA", at positions 1 to 917 of the family's 1533-position model. The record is from RNAcentral. Lineage: Bacteria; Pseudomonadati; Bacteroidota.